This 251-nucleotide long non-coding RNA is filed under the name Musa acuminata (dwarf banana). Its description in RNAcentral is "long non-coding RNA (MACU_LNC003954)". Lineage: Eukaryota; Viridiplantae; Streptophyta; Magnoliopsida; Zingiberales; Musaceae. The record is from RNAcentral.
GAGCUCAAGUUUCGAGCUCUGCUAGGCGGUGCAACCUCUCCAGUCAGGCGGUGCAACCGCCUGAGCUCGGUCUUCGAGCUCUGGUAGAGCGGUGCAACCGCCCCUGACAGAGAGGUGCAACCGCCUGGGCUCAGUCCUCGAGCUCUGCCAGGCGGUGCAACCUCUCCAGUUAGGAGGUGCAACCGCCUGAUCCCGGAAUUCCGGGAUUUGAUCGUUUUGAGCUCCAAAUUUGAACUGGGUUGGGGCCUAUA